Molecule: ribosomal RNA, 466 nt
Filed under: Vreelandella stevensii
Lineage: Bacteria; Pseudomonadati; Pseudomonadota; Gammaproteobacteria; Oceanospirillales; Halomonadaceae
Description: partial 16S ribosomal RNA
Rfam family: Bacterial small subunit ribosomal RNA
Source: RNAcentral
CCUACGGGAGGCAGCAGUGGGGAAUAUUGGACAAUGGGCGAAAGCCUGAUCCAGCCAUGCCGCGUGUGUGAAGAAGGCCUUCGGGUUGUAAAGCACUUUCAGUGGGGAAGAAAGCCUUGGGGCUAAUACCCUCGAGGAAGGACAUCACCCACAGAAGAAGCACCGGCUAACUCCGCUGCCAGCAGCCGCGGUAAUACGGAGGGUGCGAGCGUUAAUCGGAAUUACUGGGCGUAAAGCGCGCGUAGGCGGUCUGAUAAGCCGGUUGUGAAAGCCCCGGGCUCAACCUGGGAACGGCAUCCGGAACUGUCAGGCUAGAGUGCAGGAGAGGAAGGUAGAAUUCCCGGUGUAGCGGUGAAAUGCGUAGAGAUCGGGAGGAAUACCAGUGGCGAAGGCGGCCUUCUGGACUGACACUGACGCUGAGGUGCGAAAGCGUGGGUAGCAAACAGGAUUAGAUACCCCAGUAGUC